RNAcentral lists this ribosomal RNA (484 nucleotides) under uncultured bacterium. Its description in RNAcentral is "partial 16S ribosomal RNA". It matches the Rfam family "Bacterial small subunit ribosomal RNA", at positions 28 to 507 of the family's 1533-position model. The record is from RNAcentral.
AUUGAACGCUGGCGGCAUGCUUUACACAUGCAAGUCGAACGGCAGCGCGGGCUUCGGCCUGGCGGCGAGUGGCGAACGGGUGAGUAAUGCAUCGGAACGUGCCCAGUAGUGGGGGAUAGCCCGGCGAAAGCCGGAUUAAUACCGCAUACGACCUGAGGGUGAAAGCGGGGGACCGAAAGGCCUCGCGCUAUUGGAGCGGCCGAUGUCGGAUUAGCUAGUUGGUGGGGUAAAGGCUUACCAAGGCGACGAUCCGUAGCUGGUCUGAGAGGACGACCAGCCACACUGGGACUGAGACACGGCCCAGACUCCUACGGGAGGCAGCUGUGGGGAAUUUUGGACAAAGGGGGCAACCCUGAUCCAGCCAUGCCGCGUGCGGGAAGAAGGCCUUCGGGUUGUAAACCGCUUUUGUUCGGGAAGAAAUCCUCUGGGCUAAUACCCCGGGGGGAUGACGGUACCGGAAGAAUAAGCACCGGCUAACUACGUG